This 437-nucleotide ribosomal RNA is filed under the name uncultured Oscillospiraceae bacterium. RNAcentral describes it as "partial 16S ribosomal RNA". It matches the Rfam family "Bacterial small subunit ribosomal RNA", at positions 341 to 792 of the family's 1533-position model. Lineage: Bacteria; Bacillati; Bacillota; Clostridia; Eubacteriales; Oscillospiraceae. The record is from RNAcentral.
ACGGAAGGCAGCAGUGGGGAAUAUUGCACAAUGGGCGCAAGCCUGAUGCAGCAACGCCGCGUGAGGGAUGACGGUCUUCGGAUUGUAAACCUUUGUCUUUGGUGAAGAAGAAAGUGACGGUAACCAAGGAGGAAGCCACGGCUAACUACGUGCCAGCAGCCGCGGUAAUACGUAGGUGGCAAGCGUUGUCCGGAAUUACUGGGUGUAAAGGGGGCGCAGGCGGGACUGCAAGUUGGAUGUGAAAUACCGAGGCUCAACCUCGGAGCUGCAUCCAAAACUGUAGUUCUUGAGUGGAGUAGAGGUAAGCGGAAUUCCGAGUGUAGCGGUGAAAUGCGUAGAUAUUCGGAGGAACACCAGUGGCGAAGGCGGCUUACUGGGCUCUAACUGACGCUGAGGCUCGAAAGUGUGGGGAGCAAACAGGAUUAGAUACCCUGGUA